AUAGACUCACGAUAGAGAAGACUUAAAAUUGUUUAUUCUUAUCAAAUCACACAACAUGAUGUACAAGUCUUGUUUUAAAUGGACACUGAAAUAAUUUUUCGAAUGUGCAAAUAGUUAUGAAUUCCAUGUAGAUAUUACGCGGAAGCAGCUUCAUCUGACAAAUCCUGUUUGGUUGGAAUCGAAAUGGCUAAUACAUCAUCUAGUUUUGACCCUACUACCAUGACUUUGGCACCUUAAAAAUUAUAUAAUUGUAUAAUAGAGCAUAUAAUAAAUAUUUAAUGAACGCCAGUCCACAUAAGA
Frieseomelitta varia is the source of this 300-nucleotide long non-coding RNA. RefSeq lists it as uncharacterized. Lineage: Eukaryota; Metazoa; Arthropoda; Insecta; Hymenoptera; Apidae. The transcript is spliced from 2 exons. The record is from RefSeq and is a predicted model, not a curated record.